CGUGUAGGCGGCCUCUUAAGUCUGGUGUGAAAGUCCUGGGCUUAACCCCGGAAGGGCACUGGAAACUGGGAGGCUAGAGUACCGGAGAGGAGGGUGGAAUUCCUGGUGUAGCGGUGAAAUGCGUAGAUAUCAGGAGGAACACCGGUGGCGAAGGCGGCCCUCUGGACGGAUACUGACGCUGAGACGCGAAAGCGUGGGGAGCAAACAGGAUUAGAUACCCUGGUAGUCCACGCUGUAAACGAUGGGCACUAGGUGUUCGGGGUAUUGACCCCCUGAGUGCCGCAGCUAACGCAUUAAGUGCCCCGCCUGGGGACUACGGCCGCAAGGUUAAA
This 332-nucleotide ribosomal RNA is filed under the name uncultured bacterium. Its description in RNAcentral is "bacterial SSU rRNA". It matches the Rfam family "Bacterial small subunit ribosomal RNA", at positions 568 to 898 of the family's 1533-position model. The record is from RNAcentral.